This is a non-coding RNA of Homo sapiens (human), 149 nucleotides long. It matches the Rfam family "Metazoan signal recognition particle RNA". From Rfam's summary of the family: The signal recognition particle (SRP) is a universally conserved ribonucleoprotein. It is involved in the co-translational targeting of proteins to membranes. The eukaryotic SRP consists of a 300-nucleotide 7S RNA and six proteins: SRPs 72, 68, 54, 19, 14, and 9. Lineage: Eukaryota; Metazoa; Chordata; Mammalia; Primates; Hominidae. The record is from Rfam.
GCUGGGCGUGGUGGUGUGUGCCUGUAAUCCCAGCUACCAGGGAGGCUGAGGCAGGAGAAUCGCUUGAACCAGGGAGCCGCUUGGAGUGCAGUGAGCUGAGAUUGUGCCACUGCACUCCAGCCUGGCGACAGAGCAAGACUCUGUCUCAA